This 664-nucleotide ribosomal RNA is filed under the name Salmonella enterica. Its description in RNAcentral is "partial 23S ribosomal RNA". It matches the Rfam family "Bacterial large subunit ribosomal RNA", at positions 604 to 1267 of the family's 2925-position model. Lineage: Bacteria; Pseudomonadati; Pseudomonadota; Gammaproteobacteria; Enterobacterales; Enterobacteriaceae. The record is from RNAcentral.
CCUUUUGUAUAAUGGGUCAGCGACUUAUAUUCUGUAGCAAGGUUAACCGUAUAGGGGAGCCGGAGGGAAACCGAGUCUUAACCGGGCGUUAAGUUGCAGGGUAUAGACCCGAAACCCGGUGAUCUAGCCAUGGGCAGGUUGAAGGUUGGGUAACACUAACUGGAGGACCGAACCGACUAAUGUUGAAAAAUUAGCGGAUGACCUGUGGCUGGGGGUGAAAGGCCAAUCAAACCGGGAGAUAGCUGGUUCUCCCCGAAAGCUAUUUAGGUAGCGCCUCGUGAAUUCAUCUCCGGGGGUAGAGCACUGUUUCGGCUAGGGGGCCAUCCCGGCUUACCAACCCGAUGCAAACUGCGAAUACCGGAGAAUGUUAUCACGGGAGACACACGGCGGGUGCUAACGUCCGUCGUGAAGAGGGAAACAACCCAGACCGCCAGCUAAGGUCCCAAAGUCAUGGUUAAGUGGGAAACGAUGUGGGAAGGCCCAGACAGCCAGGAUGUUGGCUUAGAAGCAGCCAUCAUUUAAAGAAAGCGUAAUAGCUCACUGGUCGAGUCGGCCUGCGCGGAAGAUGUAACGGGGCUAAACCAUGCACCGAAGCUGCGGCAGCGACGCUGAUGCGUUGUUGGGUAGGGGAGCGUUCUGUAAGCCUGUGAAGGUGUGUCGUGAG